Molecule: ribosomal RNA, 496 nt
Filed under: uncultured bacterium
Lineage: Bacteria
Description: partial 16S ribosomal RNA
Rfam family: Bacterial small subunit ribosomal RNA
Source: RNAcentral
GAUGAACGCUGGCGGCGUGCCUAAUACAUGCGAGUCGAGCGAACGGACGAGAAGCUUGCUUCUCUGAUGUUAGCGGCGGACGGGUGAGUAACACGUGGAUAACCUACCUAUAAGACUGGGAUAACUUCGGGAAACCGGAGCUAAUACCGGAUGAUAUUUUGAACCGCAUGGUUCAAAAGUGAAAGACGGUCUUGCUGUCACUUAUAGAUGGAUCCGCGCUGCAUUAGCUAGUUGGUAAGGUAACGGCUUACCAAGGCAACGAUGCAUAGCCGACCUGAGAGGGUGAUCGGCCACACUGGAACUGAGACACGGUCCAGACUCCUACGGGAGGCAGCAGUAGGGAAUCUUCCGCAAUGGGCGAAAGCCUGACGGAGCAACGCCGCGUGAGUGAUGAAGGUCUUCGGAUCGUAAAACUCUGUUAUUAGGGAAGAACAUAUGUGUAAGUAACUGUGCACAUCUUGACGGUACCUAAUCGGAAAGCCACGGCUAACUACGU